Molecule: ribosomal RNA, 911 nt
Filed under: Bacillus subtilis
Lineage: Bacteria; Bacillati; Bacillota; Bacilli; Caryophanales; Bacillaceae
Description: bacterial SSU rRNA
Rfam family: Bacterial small subunit ribosomal RNA
Source: RNAcentral
CAAGUCGAGCGGACAGAUGGGAGCUUGCUCCCUGAUGUUAGCGGCGGACGGGUGAGUAACACGUGGGUAACCUGCCUGUAAGACUGGGAUAACUCCGGGAAACCGGGGCUAAUACCGGAUGGUUGUCUGAACCGCAUGGUUCAGACAUAAAAGGUGGCUUCGGCUACCACUUACAGAUGGACCCGCGGCGCAUUAGCUAGUUGGUGAGGUAACGGCUCACCAAGGCGACGAUGCGUAGCCGACCUGAGAGGGUGAUCGGCCACACUGGGACUGAGACACGGCCCAGACUCCUACGGGAGGCAGCAGUAGGGAAUCUUCCGCAAUGGACGAAAGUCUGACGGAGCAACGCCGCGUGAGUGAUGAAGGUUUUCGGAUCGUAAAGCUCUGUUGUUAGGGAAGAACAAGUGCCGUUCAAAUAGGGCGGCACCUUGACGGUACCUAACCAGAAAGCCACGGCUAACUACGUGCCAGCAGCCGCGGUAAUACGUAGGUGGCAAGCGUUGUCCGGAAUUAUUGGGCGUAAAGGGCUCGCAGGCGGUUUCUUAAGUCUGAUGUGAAAGCCCCCGGCUCAACCGGGGAGGGUCAUUGGAAACUGGGGAACUUGAGUGCAGAAGAGGAGAGUGGAAUUCCACGUGUAGCGGUGAAAUGCGUAGAGAUGUGGAGGAACACCAGUGGCGAAGGCGACUCUCUGGUCUGUAACUGACGCUGAGGAGCGAAAGCGUGGGGAGCGAACAGGAUUAGAUACCCUGGUAGUCCACGCCGUAAACGAUGAGUGCUAAGUGUUAGGGGGUUUCCGCCCCUUAGUGCUGCAGCUACGCAUUAAGCACUCCGCCUGGGGAGUACGGUCGCAGACUGAAACUCAAAGGAAUUGACGGGGGCCGCACAAGCGGUGGAGCCAUGGUGGGUUAAUU